This 117-nucleotide long non-coding RNA is filed under the name Oryzias sinensis (Chinese medaka). RNAcentral describes it as "lncRNA (ENSOSIG00000003638.1)". The record is from RNAcentral. Lineage: Eukaryota; Metazoa; Chordata; Actinopteri; Beloniformes; Adrianichthyidae.
GAGCAGACAGAGCAGGACUUUCUUCUUCUUCUUCACGGUGAAGGUGUGUGUGAGCUGAUGUGGAUCCAGUGAAUCCAGCAGCAUGGAUCAGUGGGAGGACACACAGGAGGGAGCCCC